This 323-nucleotide ribosomal RNA is filed under the name uncultured eukaryote. RNAcentral describes it as "partial 18S ribosomal RNA". It matches the Rfam family "Eukaryotic small subunit ribosomal RNA", at positions 1470 to 1796 of the family's 1831-position model. The record is from RNAcentral.
CCCUUAGAUGUUCUGGGCCGCACGCGCGCUACACUGAUACAUGCAACGUGUUUAUAACCUUGAUCUGACGGUCUGGGUAAUCUUCAAACUGUAUCGUGUUAGGGAUCGAUUCUUGCAAUUUUUAAUCGUAAACGAGGAAUUCCUAGUAAACGCAAGUCAUCAGCUUGCAUUGAUUACGUCCCUGCCCUUUGUACACACCGCCCGUCGACUCUACCGAUUGAAUGGUUCGGUGAAAACUUUGGACUGUGGCAUUGUCCUUCAUUGGACUUCGCCGUAGGAAAUUGUUUAAACCUCAUCAUUUAGAGGAAGAAUAAGUCGUAACA